Molecule: long non-coding RNA, 227 nt
Filed under: Setaria italica (foxtail millet)
Lineage: Eukaryota; Viridiplantae; Streptophyta; Magnoliopsida; Poales; Poaceae
Description: long non-coding RNA (SITA_LNC005837)
Source: RNAcentral
AUCAAUGUAGUAUCGAAAGAAAAUCUAUGUCAUUCCUCUUUACAUACCCACUAUUAUUGUAGUUAGCUUCGAGACGACCAUGUGCUUCAAUUACAGGAUCUGCACACUGCUUAAGGAUGAUUUUGCUGUGAUUUGGAUCAAUACCGCCAUCUACAACAUCAGAGUAUAGUGGAGCGUUCUCAUCUAUUCCUUGAUGCACAAUGGAACCAUUGGCACACAAAUUAGAC